AGUUUCAACUGCAGAAUCUCUCUCAUUUGUAUCUGACUGCUCAGCUAUACAAACCCUCUAAAAAGACAUAUUUGUUUUUUACACUCAACACACCCAUUUCCUGUUUUUCUCUCGUUCCAAACUUGACUUCUCUUUAAAAUGGACACCCACUUCAUUUUUGAACAAGUCCGAAGAAUGAGAUCAUCCUCUUUCUAAGAGAAUGAGCAAAACCGCUACAAAGCAGAAAAAAUUAUGUUGAGGCAGUUUCUACUCAUAAGGCAGAAGGAUCAACUUCCUGAUUAUUUAUCUGUCAGAGACAUGAAGACCUGGCUGCUGACAGGAAGAAGCUUCCUGGAAGAAUGGAUACUUUGUCCUAUGGAGUGGGGAUGGCACAAGUGUGGCGAGGGAUUUGUGCCAAUUAAGACAACUCUACCUCCUGCUCCUGAGAAGCUGAAGGUCAUAAGCUAAGCUAGCCUACAACAGGGAGAGACCAGGACGAGCGUUCCAUGUUGUGGAGUGUCGCCGACUGGGGGUUCUGGAGAGGCUUAUGGCCGCCUGACGCAGGACGAGCGUUCCCGAGGUUUGCUGAGGAGGAAGCGGAAGGUAGAGACAACAGACCGGUGCGGCUGCAACUGGAACAAUGGACUGUGAUGUGGUAACCAAGCUAAGAUCCCUCACCUUUGUUUUUAAUAUAGAUAUUUAAUUUGAGAAAUUUAAUCUUUUUUUAAGGCUUUAGAAUCAUUUAAAGUGUUAAAAUAAAUGCUGUGUGUCAUUUGUUCCUUUGGGUCACACUGCUCUCCCUUGUA
Perca flavescens (yellow perch) is the source of this 785-nucleotide long non-coding RNA. RefSeq lists it as uncharacterized. The record is from RefSeq and is a predicted model, not a curated record. The transcript has 4 exons. Lineage: Eukaryota; Metazoa; Chordata; Actinopteri; Perciformes; Percidae.